CCGUAGAGUUUGAUCGUGGCUCAGGGUCUUGUACACACCGACCCCUGCCUUUUAGAGGCGAUGACAUUCGGAAACGGCGCUAAUACCGCAUAUUUUCACGAAUCGGAUGAAUUCUUGAAGAAAGGUGUCUUCUGCUACCACUAACGGAUGGACCCGCGGCGUAUUAGCUAGUUGGUGAGGUAAUGCCUCACCAACGCAAUGAUACGUAGCCCACCUGAGAGGGUGAUCGGCCACACUGCCGACUGAAACACGCCCCCAGACUCCUACGGGAGGCAGCAAUAGGAGAAUCUUCCGCAAUCGACGAACCUCUGACGCAGCAACGCCCCGUGAGUGAAGAACGUUUUCUGAUCGUAAAACUCUGUUGUUAAAGAACAACAACGAUGAGAGUAACUGCUCAUCCCCUGACAGUAUUUAACCAGAAAGCCACGGCUAACUACGUGCCAGCAGCCGCGGUAAUACGUACGUGGCAAGCGUUGUCCGCAUUUAUUGCGCGUAAAGCGAGCGCAGGCCGUUCUAUAAGUCUGAUGUGAAAGCCCCCGGCUCAACCGGGGAGGGUCAUUGGACACUGGACAACUUGAGUGCAGAAGAGGAGAGUGGAAUUCCACGUGUAGCGGUAAAUGCGUACAUUUCUGCAGCAACACCAGUGGCGAAGGCGACUCUCUGGUCUGUAACUGACACUUGGCUCUGAAGCGUGGGGAGCAGACAGGAUUAGAUACCCUGGUACUC
RNAcentral lists this ribosomal RNA (726 nucleotides) under Carnobacterium maltaromaticum. Its description in RNAcentral is "bacterial SSU rRNA". It matches the Rfam family "Bacterial small subunit ribosomal RNA", at positions 80 to 795 of the family's 1533-position model. The record is from RNAcentral. Lineage: Bacteria; Bacillati; Bacillota; Bacilli; Lactobacillales; Carnobacteriaceae.